AAUUUUGUUACUAUAAUCGCUUAAUUUAAUAAUCAAUUAGGUGACAGUAUUUGUCCCUGUUUGUUCAUCAGGCGUGUUUGGUGACUCAGUGUCAGUGAGUGAAGGAAAUUCUGUUACUCUACACACUGAUGUUACUGAAAUAUGUGAAGAUGAUGACAUUCUGUGGAAAUUUGGAGCUGAAAAGUCUCAAAUAGCUAAAAUCAGUAGAGUUGCUGGAAUCUUCUUCACAUAUAAUGCUACAGAGAGAUUGAGAGACAGACUGAAGCUGGACAAUCAAACUGGAUCUCUGACCAUCAUGAACAUCACAUAUGAACACGCUGGACUCUAUAAAGUAGAGAUAAGUGGAGUCAGGUGGUCAUCAAAAACAUUCAGUGUUUCUGUUUAUGGUGAGUAAAGAUUUUUUGUUACUAAUUUACAUUAUAAAAGGACUAAACAUUUCAUUAUUUAAAAACAUUUAACUUCAAACAUUGAAUUGAAAAUAAGAUUGUUGAUUAGAUUUAUUCUCUCAUGUUUUCAGCUUGUCUGCCUGUUCCUGUCGUCAGCAGUAACUCUUCACAGUGUUCAUCAUCAUCAUGAUCAUCAUAUUGUUCAUUGUUGUGUUCAGUGGUGAAUGUGGGUCAUGUGACUCUCUCCUGGUACAAAGGAAACAGUUUAUUGUCCAGCAUCAGUGUGUCUGAUCUCAGCAUCAGUCUCUCUCUACCUCUGGAGGUGGAAUAUCAGGAUAAAAACACCUACAGCUGUGUGAUCAACAAUCACAUCAGAAACCAGACUCAGCACAACAUCAACAUCACUCAACACUGUCAACCAUGUUCAGGUACAGCAAUGCUGAUAAAUCAGUGAUUUUGUUCACAUUCACGUACAUUAAUGUGUCUCUUCAUCAUCACAACAUCAUCUCCUUCAGGUCCUCCAGAAGGCUCAGUCUCUGUGAAAGUGUUGGUCUCUGCUGCUGCUGGACCUCUGUUGAUUUUUGCUGCUGUCGGGAUCGUCUGCAUCUGCAGGAAACACAGAAAUACAGACCAAGAAGUUCAGACCAGCGAAGAUGAGAUCACUUACGCUGAGCCGAUGUUCUACAAAAAGCAACAUAAAUCGGUAAGAUUAUUUAUUAGGCUACUAUUUAUGUAGACUUUCUGCCAGUAGUGAGUCAUAUUUAGAUGUUUGUGUGCACAGGUAUUUUGUCCGUAUAAUGAUCUUUCACAUAGCCUGCAUGACACACAACAACACUGUGUAUCAGAUCAUCAUUCAAAUUAAGAAACGUUGACUCAUGUCUUAUAAUAUAGUUAACAAUAGCACGUGUAUUAAGAUGUAUUCAUCCGGUCCGUAAGGUUGGUUUAAAAUGUGUUUAAUAUCAUUAGGCUACAUUUUGUAAAUUUU
Long non-coding RNA from Cyprinus carpio (common carp), 1371 nucleotides. The record is from Ensembl. Lineage: Eukaryota; Metazoa; Chordata; Actinopteri; Cypriniformes; Cyprinidae.